CAGGAAGUAAGAUUCAUUUAUAUUUCUAGGGACUGAUUACUUCAGACUGAAGGUCGCAUAGCUGGUGGCCAAGCAGAGACUUAGGUCCCCAUCCUUGGACAUUUUGUAUCACUUAUGGCAACAAAUUUCCUGUGGAAGAAAAAGGUCAGAUGGGAGAAAUAAGAACAUCUAAAGACUCUUUGCGCGCGUUAAGUAUCAUCACAUUCACAGGAAGGGCCCAUGAGCCAUCUGCCAUCCUACCCAGAGUGCGGUGGAGGAGAAAUCAUGUGUAGAUUAAAGGCUGUCUCCUUCUGUCACUUAAACAAGCACAUCCCGGAUUCGUAUUGCCAUAAAAAUAAGAGAGCAGACCCAGGUAUUGAAUCCACUAUGAUAGAUGGAAAGGAAGAGCAAGUGACAGCAGUUAAUCAAGGCAAGAAGCUAAAGGAACUGAAAUAAAAUAUUUGUGCAAAAAUAUUUCCUGUGGCCAUGUUCUAGCCACAUGAAAAAGCUAUCCAACCACUAACCCAUCCAUCCACCCACCCAUCCACCCAUCCAUCCACCCACCCACCCAUUCACUCCCCACCCAUCCAUCCAUCCAAUCAUUCAUUCAGGACAC
This 595-nucleotide long non-coding RNA is filed under the name Fukomys damarensis (Damara mole-rat). RNAcentral describes it as "lncRNA (ENSFDAG00000033223.1)". The record is from RNAcentral. Lineage: Eukaryota; Metazoa; Chordata; Mammalia; Rodentia; Bathyergidae.